GUCCGUGAAGCCAUCGCCGCCGCUGAAGCUCUGGGUCGCGUCAGCUUCUCACCGAGCUCCCAUGGGUGUUGCUGUCGAGCUUGCGGGUGAGAGAAAGGGAGUCUGUGGGUGAGAGAGGAAGGUAUUCCACUGCCGUUCGUCCACGCGGCCGCCGCUGCGCCU
Molecule: non-coding RNA, 162 nt
Organism: Arachis ipaensis
Lineage: Eukaryota; Viridiplantae; Streptophyta; Magnoliopsida; Fabales; Fabaceae
Source: RefSeq, a predicted model, not a curated record